This 232-nucleotide ribosomal RNA is filed under the name uncultured bacterium. Its description in RNAcentral is "partial 16S ribosomal RNA". It matches the Rfam family "Bacterial small subunit ribosomal RNA", at positions 85 to 334 of the family's 1533-position model. The record is from RNAcentral.
CAAUACGGGAGCGGCAGACGGGUGAGUAACACGUGGGAACAUGCCCUUCGGUUCGGAAUAACUCAGGGAAACUUGAGCUAAUACCGGAUACGCCCUUACGGGGAAAGAUUUAUUGCCGAAGGAUUGGCCCGCGUCCGAUUAGCUAGUUGGUGAGGUAAUGGCUCACCAAGGCGACGAUCGGUAGCUGGUCUGAGAGGAUGAUCAGCCACACUGGGACUGAGACACGGCCCAG